Molecule: unclassified non-coding RNA, 180 nt
Filed under: soil metagenome
Description: partial internal transcribed spacer 1
Source: RNAcentral
ACGAGUGCGGCCCCCUCGGGGUGCCAACCUCCCACCCGUGUCUAUUGUACCACGUUGCUUCGGCGGGCCCGCCCCUAUCCGUAGGGGCCGUCGGGGGCAUUGUCCCCGGGCGUGCGCCCGUCGAGGACCCCACGAACGCUGUCUGAAGACUGCCGUCUGAGUGGAUUGAUAAAUCAGUCA